This is a long non-coding RNA of Equus caballus (horse), 1698 nucleotides long. Lineage: Eukaryota; Metazoa; Chordata; Mammalia; Perissodactyla; Equidae. The record is from Ensembl.
CCAAACCAAACUAAAAAAACAUGAUCCUUCAUAUAAUUUAAUAUUUUAAAAAUAUCUUAAUGAAUGUGCUAACAGUUCUCAACCCUUAACAUUGCUGUUAAUAAUACCAUAAAUUUGUAUGAUGUGUUUUAAGCUUUAAAACACUUUCAAAUCCGUUAUCUCAUUUGAUCCUUGCAAUAAUCCUAUGAAGCAGGGCAAAUAAUAAUAUGCCAAUUUUACAGCUAAUAAUAGGCUCAGAGAACUUAUGUAAUUUCCCCAAGUUUGCAAUUAGCCAGCACAAAGCCAGGAACAGAACCUAAGUUUCUCAAUGCUCUGCCCAUUAAUUCCCAAAUGUCAACCCACAAGGCAAUGCUCACCCAUUACAAAUUAAAAACAAGGAUCGUGUAAGUAGUAUCAAAGCAAAUAAUUUCAACACUUGUUUUUUCUUAUCCCCAAAUCCCCCCAGUACAUAGUUGCAUAUUGUAUUUGUGAGUGCCGCUGGUUGUGCCAUGUGGGACGCCACCUCAGCAUGGCCUGAUGAACAGUGCCACGUCCACACCCAGGAUCUGAACCAGUGAAAGCCUGGGCUGCCAAAGAGGAGCGCGCAAACUUAACCACUCCGCCACGGGGCUGGCCCCGUAAUUUCAACACCUUUAUUGAGAUUGUAAUUUUACUGCUUUUUGGGAUUUAAAAUGCUCUUUGUUAGACUUCUUAUCACUGUGAUGGACUAAGUUGAUAUGGGAAGCACCCAUCAUUCCUAACACAGAUAAAUGUUCCAUAAAAUACAACAAAAACAUUUGAAAUAUACAACUAAGCACUAAAGAAAUUGAAAUCCUCAGGUGCCAGAAAUGAAGAGAACACUAAAACGUGGUGAGCAAGAGGUGAGGCUAAAUAGGCAACUGGAGAAGUAGAAUCAGAAAUUGGACUUAGGCAUGGGAGCUGGAAUGGGAGCUGAGACCCCAUGUGCCUCAGUCGAGUUGGAACUGAGCAUAGAGCCGGGAUCCUAGAAGACCUUUGCUGCUGUGAAAAUCUAGAUUCUAGAAUAUCUCCUCCCAUUAGCCUGAGAAUUAGGGGAGAAAGCAGACUGAUUACCACCCAGAUGACAUAGCUCCCAAACUGAGCUGCACAUAGGAGCGUGGGCCAAAUGGGCAUUCAUGAAUAGUGUGGGAAACCCAAACCAAGGUAGCACAGAAAAACUGGCUUGAACCAUGGAAACCUGAAGGACAAAUACAAAAGUGUCCCAUAGUAACAGUUUACAAUCCUGGAUACAUGAGACACCAUGAAAAGAAAUACCCAGGAUGACAUGGGGAAAAAAAAAAUCUAUCUAUCUAUCUAUCUAUCUGUCUAUCUGUCUAUCUUCCAGGGGAGGAAGUUAGCAGAAUUCAUAACCCAAGAAUUACAGACAAUAGAGCAAAGAGACUAUAAAGAUUCCACGCCUCAGAAUCUGAAUUGGACAGGAACCCAAAUAAGUUGUUGGAAACACACAAAUCUAAACUCAAAUUGUCAUACUUCAACAUCUGCUUUUGAGGGCAGAGAGCACGUGCUGUACUUUUGUUUAAGCUUCACGUAGCAGGAAUUCAGUUCAUGAGUGGACACGUGAACCAUUGAAGCAACAAAGGGAUGAACAACUCUGGAUUCGGGCCACGCACAAGUUCUGCAGUGCUCAGUGCCUCAUCUAGACUUCCACAAGGAGAGUACAUUGAUUCAGCUGAAAAACAG